Molecule: transfer RNA, 67 nt
Filed under: Marmota monax (woodchuck)
Lineage: Eukaryota; Metazoa; Chordata; Mammalia; Rodentia; Sciuridae
Description: tRNA.Ala
Rfam family: tRNA
About the family: Transfer RNA (tRNA) molecules are approximately 80 nucleotides in length.
Source: RNAcentral
GGUUGUGGCUCAGUGAUAGAGCACUUGCCUAGCAUGUGUGAGGCCCUGGGUUUGAUCCCCAGCACCA